CCUACGGGAGGCAGCAGUGGGGAAUAUUGGGCAAUGGGCGCAAGCCUGACCCAGCAACGCCGCGUGAAGGAAGAAGGCUUUCGGGUUGUAAACUUCUUUUCUGAGGGACGAAGAAAGUGACGGUACCUCAGGACUAAGCCACGGCUAACUACGUGCCAGCAGCCGCGGUAAUACGUAGGUGGCAAGCGUUAUCCGGAUUUACUGGGUGUAAAGGGGGCGUAGGCGGCUAAGCAAGUCAGAAGUGAAAACCCAGGGCUCAACCUUGGGACUGCUUUUGAAACUGGGGUGCUAGAGUGCAGGAGAGGUAAGCGGAAUUCCUGGUGUAGCGGUGAAAUGCGUAGAUAUUAGGAGGAACACCAGUGGCGAAGGCGGCUUACUGGACUGUAACUGACGUUGAGGCUCGAAAGCGUGGGGAGCAAACAGGAUUAGAUACCCUUGUAGUC
Molecule: ribosomal RNA, 443 nt
Filed under: uncultured bacterium
Lineage: Bacteria
Description: partial 16S ribosomal RNA
Rfam family: Bacterial small subunit ribosomal RNA
Source: RNAcentral